GAUGAACGCUAGCGGUGCGCCUAACACAUGCAAGUCGAGCGAUAUAGCGGCGAACGGGUGAGUAACACGUUGGAACCUACCUCGGACUCAGGGAUAACACAGAGAAAUCUGUGCUAAUACCGGAUAGUCCCGCAAGGGUAAAGCUUUUGCGGUCCGAGAGGGGCCUGCGCAGUAUCAGUUUGUUGGUAAGGUAAUGGCUUACCAAGACUACGACGCUUAGCUGGUCUGAGAGGAUGAUCAGCCACAAUGGAACUGAGACACGGUCCAUACUCCUACGGGAGGCAGCAGUGAGGAAUCUUCCGCAAUGGGCGAAAGCCUGACGGAGCGACACCGCGUGAAGGAUGAAGGCCUUUUGGUUGUAAACUUCUUUUCUGAGGGAAUAAAUGAUGAAGGUACCUCAGGAAUAAGCACCGGCUAACUACGUG
RNAcentral lists this ribosomal RNA (425 nucleotides) under uncultured bacterium. RNAcentral describes it as "bacterial SSU rRNA". It matches the Rfam family "Bacterial small subunit ribosomal RNA", at positions 28 to 507 of the family's 1533-position model. The record is from RNAcentral.